This 76-nucleotide transfer RNA is filed under the name Flavobacteriaceae bacterium. RNAcentral's name for it is "tRNA-Lys". It matches the Rfam family "tRNA". Rfam says of the family: Transfer RNA (tRNA) molecules are approximately 80 nucleotides in length. Their secondary structure includes four short double-helical elements and three loops (D, anti-codon, and T loops). Further hydrogen bonds mediate the characteristic L-shaped molecular structure. tRNAs have two regions of fundamental functional importance: the anti-codon, which is responsible for specific mRNA codon recognition, and the 3' end, to which the tRNAs corresponding amino acid is attached (by aminoacyl-tRNA synthetases). tRNAs cope with the degeneracy of the genetic code in two manners: having more than one tRNA (with a specific anti-codon) for a particular amino acid; and 'wobble' base-pairing, i.e. permitting non-standard base-pairing at the 3rd anti-codon position. Lineage: Bacteria; Pseudomonadati; Bacteroidota; Flavobacteriia; Flavobacteriales; Flavobacteriaceae. The record is from RNAcentral. RNAcentral also lists the same sequence under 1 other name.
GACUUGGUAGCUCAGCUGGUAGAGCACAUCACUUUUAAUGAUGGGGUCCUGGGUUCGAAUCCCAGCCAGGUCACUA